CAACACUUGGGAGAGCACUAGCUCAACACACUGGCUGCUACAAUGAUGCGCCUCUCCGGACAAGAGCUUCUCUUUCGGAAUCGCGUACAACAAAGAAAGGGGUUGUGAUCUACAGCGCAUUCUUAAGUGAAUCCUGAAAUUCAUUUGCGUUUGUCUGGAGCUGCUGGAAACCGAGAGCUUAGCCACUGAGAAGCCAGUUACAGAAACUUUUUCAGAAUGGAGAGUCCUGCCCUCUUACACAAGGUGAAAAAAGCAAAGCGAAACAAAAUCUGAUCUAUCAAUGCAGUGAAUUCUUUUAAAAUCUGGGAAACACUCCCCUCUCCCAUUCUAUUUGAUCUUUCUUCUUUGCAUGAAAAGAGUCUUUUGUUCGUUUAUUUUUACAACCCGCGUUUUGUCGAGCACGUUGCGUGUGCCAGGUACUUGGCUGGGGAAAGCAGGUUGGCUUGCUGAUUUGGAUGGUGCAACCCUAGGGAAGGAGCUUGUUGGAGAGGUCCUUGUAGGGAUGAGAGCGGGCCGUGCCUGAGAUGGCUGCCACAGAGGAGGGGUGGGGGGACGGGAGGAUGACAAUACGCCCUUACCAGGACCUUGGGCAGGACUCCUCUACCUCCGCUCCCUCUUACAGCUUCCCGGAGGUUGCCAGCCAUUGCUCUCCAGGCUGCUCUUCUCCAGGUCAGGCAGCCAGAGGCAGAGUGUGGCUGGACUUGUUUACCCCUUUGCACUAGGCACCUGGGAUGAGCGUUGGCCAUUUUGCAUGAUGAAUCCCCAUCACUUAUUUCUUGUGAGCUCUAAGGCGGUCUGAAAACAAGAAGCCGGUCCGGGUGUUGGGCCCUGCUUCGUACCGUUUGUCAGAGCCAAGGGCAGCUAGGACAUUGGAGACCAAAGCAGGAAGGCUGACUGCGGAGGGUGUUACAGGCUGAAGGUUCUGAGCCUGGGACUUCAAGAAGAGCUGAAGAUAAGAAUUCACGUGUGCUGUCUGACUUUUCCUGGGGAGAGGUGAAGAAAUGUCUACUCACCUCAGACUGGUUGCCCAGGACUGACCAAAGGAACAAUUCUACUGAGUCUACCAUGGUGAACCAUGAGUUUACUGGGGCUACUUGCACCUCUCCCUCCCCGGGACACAAAGGCUUGCUCACUGCUGAAAACCUCGCCCCCAAACUGGAUGUAGAACACUCAGCUACUUCUUCAGCACCAUGUCUGCCUGCCUGCCACCAUGCUACCUGCCAUGAUGAUAAUGGACCAAACCUCUGAAACUGUGAGCCAGCCCACAGUGAAAUGCUUUCUUUUAUAAGAGCUGCCAUGGUCAUGGAGUCUCUUCACAGCAAUGGAACAGUGACUAAGACAGUCUUCUCUACUGAGAUGGAAAAUGGGGACUCGAAGUCUGGCCUUCAUGCUGAUGAGACCAUUCCACAGAAUUUCUCCCGACAUUUGGCUGGCCAGAACUACAAUUUUGUUCUUUAUGUGAAAUGCUUGGUGUGCCAAAACAAUGCCCUAUGGGGUUGGGGGAGGAUAGCAUCAUUCUCUAAGCCCCUGCAGUAAGUGUAUGCCAUGAAUUGUUUAAUCUACUCACCCGUGCAUCCAUUGUUGGGCCUUUGGGUGCUUUAACCUUAUUGUGAAUAAUGCUGCUGUGAGUACAGAGGUCCCUUCAUGCUUUUUUGUUUUGUUUUGUUUUAAAUUUCAGUUCUUUGUGUGUACUCCCAGAACUGGAACCACCAGAUCAAAUGGUAAUUUAUGUUGCAUUUUGAAGAAAUCUCAAUGCUGUUUUCCACAGUGGUUAUAUUACUUUGUAGCCCUACCUACAGUACACAAGCAUUUCCCUUUCCCUAGAGCCUUGCCAACACUUGAUUUUCCUGCUCUCUCAUCGAUGGUAGAUUGUCAUUUAUAAGAAGUAAUAUCUCACUGUAGUUUUUGUUUGUGUCAAGCUACCUAGGCUUGCUGGCCUGAAACUCAUUUAUGUAGCUUCUGUUGGCAUCAAACUUGCAAUCCUCCUGCCUUUGUCUCCUGGGUGCUGAAAUCACAGGCAUGCAUCAACACCCACAGCAUCUCACUGCAGUUUUGAUUUGGAUUUCUGUGAUGAUUUGGUGAACUGAGCAUCUCUGAUGAGUUUAUAAUCAGUCACUUAUACAUUGUACAUGCACUUUGGAGAAAUUUCCAUCUCAGCAAAAAUGGUAAAUUGAAGGUUGCAUAC
Molecule: long non-coding RNA, 2185 nt
Organism: Meriones unguiculatus (Mongolian gerbil)
Lineage: Eukaryota; Metazoa; Chordata; Mammalia; Rodentia; Muridae
Exons: 3
Source: RefSeq, a predicted model, not a curated record